ACCAAAUUGAUUUCGGAAAGUAGGGCUACACCAUGGCCGAGGGUUUCAAGCUCGAGCAGAAGCACGGCAAGGCGAGUGUCAGAGUGGCCCGUGUCUGGCGUAGAGUCGCCGGCGGCGCCGCCGACCUCGUCGUCGAAUGGAACGUCAACAUCAGCCUUCUCUCCGACUGCCUCCCUGCCUACACCGCCGGCGACAACUCCGCCAUCGUCGCCACCGACACCAUGAAGAACACAGUGUAUGCAAAGGCGAAGGAGUGCUCCGAACCCUUGUCGAUGGAGAGUUUUGCGAUCCUUCUCGCUAGGCAUUUCACUAGUCUCUAUCCGCAGGUUACAGCUGCAAUCAUUAAAAUCAUCGAGAAGCCG
RNAcentral lists this unclassified non-coding RNA (362 nucleotides) under Hevea brasiliensis (rubber tree). Lineage: Eukaryota; Viridiplantae; Streptophyta; Magnoliopsida; Malpighiales; Euphorbiaceae. The record is from RNAcentral.